Molecule: ribosomal RNA, 433 nt
Filed under: uncultured bacterium
Lineage: Bacteria
Description: partial 16S ribosomal RNA
Rfam family: Bacterial small subunit ribosomal RNA
Source: RNAcentral
AACGAACGCUGGCGGCAUGCCUAACACAUGCAAGUCGAACGAGACCUUCGGGUCUAGUGGCGCACGGGUGCGUAACGCGUGGGAACCUGCCCUUAGGUUCGGAAUAACUCCCCGAAAGGGGUGCUAAUACCGGAUAAUGUCUUCGGACCAAAGAUUUAUCGCCUUUGGAUGGGCCCGCGUUGGAUUAGCUAGUUGGUAGGGUAAAAGCAUACCAAGGCGACGAUCCAUAGCUGGUCUGAGAGGAUGAUCAGCCACACUGGGACUGAGACACGGCCCAGACUCCUACGGGAGGCAGCAGUGGGGAAUAUUGGACAAUGGGGGAAAGCCUGAUCCAGCAAUGCCGGGUGAGUGAUGAAGGCCUUAGGGUUGUAAAGCUCUUUUACCCGGGAUGAUAAUGACAGUACCGGGAGAAUAAGCUCCGGCUAACUACGUG